AGUGUUCAAAGCACAGUACAAUAUAAAUGCAGUAUCUGGCAUCAUUGGUUUUUUGGUUUCAUGCAUAUUAAACCCAGUAUUUUUAUUGAUACACUA
Molecule: small nucleolar RNA, 96 nt
Organism: Artibeus jamaicensis (Jamaican fruit-eating bat)
Lineage: Eukaryota; Metazoa; Chordata; Mammalia; Chiroptera; Phyllostomidae
Product: small nucleolar RNA SNORA8
Exons: 1
Source: RefSeq, a predicted model, not a curated record